CCUACGGGGCGCAGCAGUCGAGAAUCAUUCACAAUGGGGGAAACCCUGAUGAUGCGACGCCGCGUGGGGGAAUGAAGGUCUUCGGAUGGUAAACCCCUGUCAUGUGGGAGAAAAUUAAAAAGAUCGUACCACAAUAGGCAGCGACGGCUAACUCUGUGCCAGCAGCCGCGGUAAUACAGAGGUCUCAAGCGUUGUUCGGAAUCACUGGGCGUAAAGCGUGAGUAGGCUGUUUCGUAAGUCGUGUGUGAAAGGCGCGGGCUCAACCCGCGGACGGCACAUGAUACUGCGAGACUAGAGUAAUGGAGGGGGAACCGGAAUGCUCGGUGUAGCAGUGAAAUGCGUAGAUAUCGGGAGGAACACUCGUGGCGAAGGCGGGUUGCUGGACAUUAACUGACGCUGAGGCACGAAGGCCAGGGGAGCGAAAGGGAUUAGAUACCCGUGUAGUC
This 446-nucleotide ribosomal RNA is filed under the name uncultured bacterium. Its description in RNAcentral is "partial 16S ribosomal RNA". It matches the Rfam family "Bacterial small subunit ribosomal RNA", at positions 338 to 795 of the family's 1533-position model. The record is from RNAcentral.